This 300-nucleotide signal recognition particle RNA is filed under the name Cebus imitator (Panamanian white-faced capuchin). RNAcentral's name for it is "Metazoan signal recognition particle RNA (ENSCCAG00000005077.1)". It matches the Rfam family "Metazoan signal recognition particle RNA". From Rfam's summary of the family: The signal recognition particle (SRP) is a universally conserved ribonucleoprotein. Lineage: Eukaryota; Metazoa; Chordata; Mammalia; Primates; Cebidae. The record is from Rfam by way of RNAcentral.
GCCGGGCGCAGUGGCACAUGCCUGUAGUCCCAGCUACUUGGGAGGCUGGGGCGGGAGGAUGGCUUGAGCCCAGGAGUUCAGGGCUGUAGUGCGCUAUGCCCAUCAGGUGUACGCACUAAGUUCGGCAUCAAUAUGGCGACCUCCCCAGAGCGGGGGACCACCAGGUUGCCUAAGGAGGGGUGAACCGGCCCAGGUCGGAAACGGAGCAGGUCAAAACUCCCGUGCUGAUCAGUAGUGGGAUCGUGCUUGUGAAGAGCCACUGCACUCCAGCCUGGGCAACAUAGCAAGACCCUGUCUCUU